AUUCUAUCUUGGCUUCAGGUCCACAGCGGUUCCAGCUUUAAUGAGGUGACUGUGCCCUGAGAUCUAAGAAUGCCACCUCCUCUCUACAAUGCUGGCAUCAGAGCUGGCAGUGGUUUCUUGCUGCUAUUAAUCUCUGGGUGACCACAAUUUAGCUUUUUAGUUCAUCCAGUGCCAUGCUGGUCCAUUCCUGCAAUAGACUCCCUCUUAAACAUGCAGUGAUUGAUGUCAUCUUUCAUUCACCGACCUUAGAAAUUUGUACAUCAGAAUUUAUUAAUAUUGGGACACAUAUUCAAAAAUUAUACCUUACAGACAUAUCUGCGAAUCAUAUGACUUGCAGGAUUGUGAAAGAC
Molecule: long non-coding RNA, 350 nt
Filed under: Fukomys damarensis (Damara mole-rat)
Lineage: Eukaryota; Metazoa; Chordata; Mammalia; Rodentia; Bathyergidae
Description: lncRNA (ENSFDAG00000028242.1)
Source: RNAcentral